This is a long non-coding RNA of Peromyscus leucopus (white-footed mouse), 5450 nucleotides long. RefSeq lists it as uncharacterized. The record is from RefSeq and is a predicted model, not a curated record. The transcript is spliced from 5 exons. Lineage: Eukaryota; Metazoa; Chordata; Mammalia; Rodentia; Cricetidae.
AGAUUGAAAGAUUUUCCUUGUGAAAGGGUAUAUCUAUGCAAAUAUAAACAAUUACUUAAGAAUAUUUAAGAGUAUUUAAGAGUAUCUGAAAUCAUGCAUCCAUUAUGGAGUCUCAUGAUGCUAUCAAGUGACUGUGUAUGUUUGUGUUUAUGUAUAUGUGUGUAUUGGGGCGUGUGUGUGUGUGUGUGUGUGUGUGUGUGUGUGUGUGUGUGUACAAUCAUAUUGUAAAAUAUAGGAAAGGAAGUAUUGAGGGGCAGAUGAGGGAGACCAAUUGGCUAGUGGCAACCAUACCUGACUCAUCUCCACUUCCCAUCAGGACUUGGUUUCUUUACCACCUCUCAACACUCACACUCUCUGCUUGGGCAAGAAUCCAGGUACUUCCAGGACUGGGGAAAUCCUUUCAUCGUGUUUUCUUCUUAGGCAGACUUCAGGGUGGGGCUUGGGAGAGAGGAAGGAAUGUGGCGGAGGAGUGAGGGGGUUCUCCGAAUGCGGCAGCAUUUGGCAGGGGUGGAGAGUGGUUUAUGUAAAAGAGGGGUACAGAUAAAACUCUGGGGAUUCUGAAGGAAAGGCGACCAUAAGGACCACCAGGAAAGAUGUUCCAGAGAAGGUGACCUAGAAACUGGGCCUGAAAGAGUGUGUAGGAUUUCUUUACUUUUACUUUUUGGUAGGCGUGGGUGGAAGAACUUUCCUUCGGAAAAACAAACAAACAAACAAACAAACACCCAGUCCAGACAGGCACUGCACCACAACAUGUGUGUCUGAAGACAGGAGCAUGCUUUCUCUCAUCCACGGCUCUUCAUGAGAUCCAGAGGUUAACAGCACCAUGAACUCUUGCUAUGUUUUGGGUGGUGGCCUGCCCACUGGCCACCCACCCUCCCUCCCUCUCCUUUCUUCCUCCUUUCAUUUCCAUCAUCUCUAUGGUUACUUUACUCCCCCACUUUCAUUACACUGUGUCCUUGAUCUUGUUUUAUUAAGUGCUGAGAGCGACAUUCUCCUCCUUGGGCUGGCUGCCUUGUGACCAGGAUGGACGUUGUGUUGGUGACUUCAAAAGCUAGGUCAUGAAAUGUCAAGAAGCCUCCUUCCAGAACCAUUGGGACCCUCACCUUUGGAGGCUCAGCCACCAUGUGGGGAUAUCGGGAUCCAGGCUGGGGUGAAGGGCAGCAAUACCACCUGGAAAUGUGAAUGAAAGAUGCUCCUGAACUGAGUCUCCCUAGGUUGUCAAUCCUUUCUACAGCCACCUUAGGUGUCACUGAGCAGAGCAGGUCAACACCACUGCAUCCCUUUCAAAAUCUUGGCACAAAACAGUCGAGCGUAAUGAACUGGUUUAUCGAGCUAAACCCAGACAAUUGGUGCAUACAUCCGCAGCAACCAUCACAGCCAGCGCUGAGGCUCUUCUGGUUCAUGGCUUUCUGUUUGGCAGAGAAGGGAGGGUGGGAAUUAUCGACUCUUGACAAGUCCUGGUUGGCUGAUUUACACCUGCUGUCUCAUUCCAUUUCUCCUAGCACCGCGAGGUAAAUAAAUAUCAUUGGCCUAAUUGUACAGGGAACAAGACUCUGAGAGGUUAAGUGGCUUCUUCAGGGCCACAGACUUAGUACAUAAACCCAGUUUCUGCAGGGUUCUCACACCUCUCUACCAUUCAGUAGAGCCUCAGUGUGAAUCCCAGAAGGACUGUAAGUAGUCCACUCUGACCACCGCCCAGACCAAGAUCUGGGGAGGCAGAUGGAGGGAGGGGUACACUUCCUGCCUCCCAGAUACUUUAGUUUAAUCGGUUUAUUCUUUGUAUCAGUAAAAUCAUUAAUAUCUGCUACUGGUAAUGUCACAAGUGCCCCAAUUGGGGACUAUAAGUACUAUGAACCCCCCCCCCCCGGUGUAUUUAAAACAGAACUUUUUGAGUAGAACAGAAUGAGGUGCUAUUGAGUGACUGAAUCGUCAUGAAGGUCACAGCCAUUAUGUCUGAAUUAACAACCCCAAUCAUACCUCUACCCCAAAUAAACAGGCCUCAAAUGACCAUGCCUGGACAAAAGAGUGGCAGCCACAGUCCAUAUCUCUCUUGAGGAAAGCGUGAGUGAUGGGCCUAGUACACGGGCCAGGCUUCGUUUCUCAAAAGUAUGGUCCACCAACUAUGAAUGGCUGAUUGGUGGGGAGACAGGCUAAGAUGAUCACACUUCACCAUGACCAUUUUCACAGGUUAAUCUCACAGAAGAGUUGCUGCACACUCUCUAAUAAGGAGCUACAGAAACAGAGUGGCUGUGUGGACCAGAGUCUGUCCCGUUCUGGCCAGCUGGAGCAGCACUCUACAAAGGGGAGCGUGAGGCCGGAACCCCACAGACUGAAUGCCAGGCUGCUGUAGAAAUGGAUCAGUGUUGGGUGUCUGCCUGACCUUGGAGCUGAACAUGUGACUGGAACAAAAUGGGAAAUGGCGUCAGAAAAUUUGAUCUUCUGUUUCAUUUCCUCCUUUGGCACCCCUCCUUCCUUGACUCUGGGCUCCGUGACUGGCAUGAUCUUGGGUCACCAUUCAGCCUCUCCAAGCAUCUGUCUUGCAGAUGGCAGAUGGGGACAUUCUUAGUCCUCUAUGGAUCAUGAUGGACAUGCAAAGGAUGGUCAAUGAGGACCUCCAGUGCCCUUGCCUGGGGUUCUUGAGUGCCCAUCAAGGCUGAGUUUUCCAUCCAUCCUGCCAUUCAAACUCCUCCUGGGCACACAGUCUACUCUGAUCUCUCCACUGCUACUCCCCUCCUGUUUCCAUGAAGUCAAACAGUCCCAAAGCCUCUGGACUCAUUUGUGUGACCUUGAAACCAUCUAUCUGAGAAGAGAACAGGAAGUAGAGGAUGCCAUGGCAACAGAUAACCGAAGCCAGCAUGGAAUGGAGCUAAUGGGCAGGGCUGCUCUCAGUGAAUACUUCCCAGUAAGCCCACAAAUGGUCGGUCACCAUCUGUUCUGAUUGGCUGAUGUCAAUGUUCUCCUACUCAUUGAACUGACAAAAUCUUGGUCUGAUAUCUGUUGCCCACUGCUCAAUGCCAGAAAGUUUCAUAGACUUCUUCUCCCAACUUGGCUCACCAUAGAGAGGAGAAAUAUCGAAUCCAAGAGUCAAAUCCAAACCAAGCCAACUAAGAAAACAAGAAGAGAGGCCAAAAAGAAAAGGGAAGGAAUUAAAAGAGUAAAAAGCAAAGGAAAAAGAGAGGUGAGAGAUGAAAUCCUGAGUGACUGUGUUAUUGCCGAGAGCAUGGCCAUAGAAUGGCAAGGCUUUCUCCUGAGCCAGGCUCAGAGGAAUAGCAAGGCUUCUUCUGGUCAGAAGUCUGCCAUUGACAGUGUGUGAACAAAGUAUCCACAUCAGUUUCCUUCUCCAGGAUGACUGCAACCUGUCGCUGAGUUCCUACGGAGACCUCCUACUGAAAUGAGUUAACCAGCCUCAAACCGGCCUCACUCCUGCCUUAUAGAAUAAGCACACUGAGUUUCUAGGCUGCCCUUGGUGCAUCUCCAUGGAGCGCACAGGUCACCUCAUCCCAGCUUUUGGUGUACCUGUCUGUCAUUUCCUCAUUCCCUUUUGCCCCAGUUAGGUCAAGUACAGAUCAUGGCACACACGGCUUGAUGUCUCUGUUUUAACAGAGUCAGUAAAAGGAGCUAAAAUAUUCUUCUAGAAAAGGAAUCCUUCAACAUGUCCACAGACAAAAUUUCAGAAGUUUUAAAGAUAAAUAUUGUUCAUAUUUAAAAGCAAUAGGCGGAUUUAAAGGGAUUUACAUGCCCCUUAAAAAUGUUUCCUUUGCCUGGAUGGGGUAGGAUUAGGACACUGGAAGUCUCUGAUUAGGGAUCUAGAGAUAUGAACAAUUGGUCUAGAGAUCUAGGGCAUGCUGUAGUUUAUACCUCAAUGUCACCCAAAGACCCAUGUUCGGGCCUUUUUAAAAGCUUGGCAUAGCCCAUAGCGCCAGUAGGUGGUGGAAACUUUAGGAGGUAAGGCCCUGGGGCAGAGAAAAUAAUAUGUAUUAUUAUAUAUAAAUAUGUAAAUGACUGCCCUGUCUAUAUAGACAGUUUUGUUAAAAAGAUAAUAACCAUAGAUUUGUAUGGUCCAGUCAUUUGUCAGUACGAUCCAGGAUGACAAGAGGUGAUGCUUACACAUCAGCUUAUUAUUUAGUCAGUGCUUGAGAAAAUUCUGUGUCAUCUCCAGGCACCAUAGCUUUCUAUGCAGGCUCAAGAACAACUUCUCUUUCCAUUCACAAUGGGGCAUCUACCACACAUCCCUCCUCCAAAGUCUCAGGGAACAUUGCAGAAGAGGUGGGAACAGUAUGAGAGCGUUGCACACUCUCUGAGAGGGGUGUGGAAAGUUGACUUCCGGGCAGGACAUGACUACUGCCUUCUCUUACUCAAAGGAGUUGUGAUUACCUGCGGAAGACCGCGAUCUGUCAACAACUCAUCAUGGGAGGAGGAGGGGCUCACGAGUCCCCAUCCCUCUAUGAGGAUGUAUGAUGCAGAGAGAAGAGACAUUUUCUUUAGUGGUGGUAAGGUACACAUACUCCUGUGAUCAAACUCCCACCCACAGUCCUUUAAACAACCCUAAUGGAACACACACAUACACACACACACACACACACACACACACACACACACACACACACGGAGACAUGAAUGAAAGUCCAAAGGGUGGUUGGGAAGAGGAAGGGCAUCACUGCAGGUAAGAGGGAAACAAGAAAGGGUGAAUCUGAUCAAAAUCCAUUCCAUACACAUACGAAAACCUCACAACGAAGCUCCAUCGUUAUGUAUUGUUAACACAUGCUAAGGAAAACCCUUAAGAAGGAUGACGUCUCUAUGUUCUUCGGUGUCGAAUGUGCUGAGGAACAUCUUCCACGAAGGAGAGGUGAAAUUGCACUAUCACUCAUGGUGUAGCUCUCGGCACCUGUGUGUGUGUUGAAUCUCUCUUCAGAUCCCCGACAACUACUCAUUUAGUCUGGUCGUGUCAUAGCUCAUAGCACCCAGUCCUCCAUGGUGCUGCCCCGGAACAGUGGCCUCCAAGAACUUUAUUAUUGAUUGUCAUUUGGCUGCUCUGUUAAUGAUCACGAAUGCACCUGUGCAGAAAAAUGCAAAGGCAAAUUCAUUUUCUGCCCAUGUUGAGCUCACUAUCAACAUUUGAACUAUGAACUAUGAAUGUGGAAUAAUGUAUGUUUUCAACCACAUCUUCUCUGGGAUGCAGGUUAUAUCACUGCAUUCCUAGAGAUCUCUUUCAAUGUUGACCAUAGGAGAGGAUCCUCAGAGCCCAUCAAGAAGAGUUUUCACAUUGCUGUGAAAAGACCAGUCUGGGAAAAUGAUGAGGGGACAUGCAUUGUAAAGAUCCAUGGCCAUGCGCACUGUGGAGCAAGUCUUCAAACACCUUAGAGUUGGAGGCCACUCCUGACCACCUAAUGUGACAAGGAGCCUGUCAUAGGUGGGGAUGGGGGAAGAGUGGAUCAGAUUAAGAGCAGCAA